This 759-nucleotide long non-coding RNA is filed under the name Manduca sexta (tobacco hornworm). RNAcentral describes it as "uncharacterized LOC119189585". The record is from RNAcentral. Lineage: Eukaryota; Metazoa; Arthropoda; Insecta; Lepidoptera; Sphingidae.
UUCAUCAUAACGAAUAUCUGAGAAUAGUACCGUUUAAGUUAGCUGAAGCAGAAAGAUCGGUAUUUCGUGUACAUAUACGCACGCACACAUAUCGAAAGUAAUUUUUAUAUAGGACCACUAGAUGGUACUAAUGCAGAAAACAUAUUUCAAGGUCUCGAAAAAUUUAACGUAAUCUCUCGUAUCGCAUCAUUGUUGGUGCAUAUUUGUAAUGGGUCAUGAAAAAUUGGGAAUAAAUAAAUUAGUGUUUUAUAGCUUGGCAAAAAAGUGUAGAAAUGGAACUAAUCCUUUAUUUUACCUGGCAACAUUAUCACAUUUUUGACGUUUGUGAAGUUUUAUAAAUAGUGUCGGUGUUGUCUUUUUUAUUAAAAUUUUGCAAUAAGAACAAGAAGAUACUAUUCGCGAUACAAAAUGAAUAAGCCGCGAAUAAUAAGGUUCGCGAGAGAAAUUAUAUAUAAAACUUUUACCGACCAUGUCUAGCUGAACAAGAAGCAAAAACAAUUCUAUCGGAUCUGGAAGCAUAUGUGAGUGCGUUUCAAGACAUAACCGAAGAUGAUUGGAAAAUCUCAUGUCAACAUGUAAGAAAAAUUUAAAAUGACUAUUACAAGAGAGAACAUACCCUGUAAGAGGACAUUGAAAGAAUUAUAAUAAAUCUUAAAGAUGACAGUAGUAGUUCUUCAGAAUCAUAGGAUGACUGUCCAGCCAGCUCCAGUCAUGAAAAUAUGGACAUUGAUUUUACUGAAAUACAAUAUUUGGAAGAAA